GCCGGGUGCAGUAACGUACACUUGUAAUCCCAAUGGCUUGGGAGGCUGAGGCAGGAGGAUCACAACAAGUUCAAAGCCAGUCUCAGCAACUUAGUAAGGCCCUAAGCAACUUAGUGAGACCCUGUCUCAA
This 130-nucleotide small RNA is filed under the name Marmota monax (woodchuck). Lineage: Eukaryota; Metazoa; Chordata; Mammalia; Rodentia; Sciuridae. The record is from RNAcentral.